CAGUGAAAUAUUUUAUGUGAUUUUUUAAUUUGAACUUUUUUGAAAUUGUUAUUAAGUAUAAUGAAUUUGAUUAAUGUAUUAUGAUUUGAUUGGUAUUAUAAAUUCUAUUGUGUUCAUUAUUUUUUUUAGAAAAAUAAGCAUGUCAAUGAUGAUCAUAAUAUCAUUGCAGUAAUCAACUGUUGAUUGGUUUGAGACGAACUGAUGCUCAACUCUAAAAGGAAUAAAAAUAAGACUUAAAGACUAAACAACUCAAAAUGACUUGGAAUCCACUCUAUGCCAGAACUAUUCCUGAACUCAGUAUACCUCCAUAUAAAAAGCAACUAAAGGUUUGCUUGACCGAGAUAUUGACGGUUUCCCAGUUUUGGUUCAAUAUCGCUGGUCCUCAUAAUAGUCAGGCUGUUGAAGUGUUGCAUCAAGAAAUGAAAGAAUUCUACAGACUUAGAUUUAAUGAUUAUAGAAUACACAAUGUUUCUGAGGUGAAAAGCAAGAUUGCUCCUGGUUUACCUGUUGCUGCUGUCUACCCAGGGCUUGGGUCAGAUGAUCUGAAUAGGGGCCUGGUAAAGAAUGUGGACAUACAGAACAAGGAAGCGACCAUCUUCUUCUGCGAUUUCGGAUCUGAAAUAAAUAUUCAGGUUUCCAACCUUCUGUAUCUUGGAUCUGAGUUCUCAGCCCUGGAGCAGCAAGCUGUUCUUGGUAGAAUAUGGGGACUAGAUCAAGAGUUUGGGAACGACGAAGGUUUUAACUACCUUGUCAAGAAGGCGCAGAAUAAUAAAAACCUUUUUAGUGCAACUAUCAAGGGCUGGAUUGAACCCCUCCCGCAACCCUUUCCUCUUCCACUUGUUUUAGUAAACAAUGAUACAGAAAGAACAGUAAGCAAGCAACUUGUAAAGCGAGGUCUGGCAAAGUUCUGUGAAGAUGAACAGAAUGAAACCAAUGCUGCCGACAAUGAUGUUCUGUCUGAUCUCAUUUUUGAAAAGUUGUUUAUAAUUGAGAAAGUUCUCUCUGUACUGAAGGAAGUCAAUGGUCCCGAGUACGAUCGCUUGAAAAGGUUCUUUCAGAAUCAGUUGGAUCAGACAGAACAGAAACUUUAUGAGUGAUGUCUAGUCAACUGAGCCCAGGGCUUGGAGAUCACACGAGUGAAGAAGAGGAUAGUGAUGGUCGUAGCUCUCUGAGUUAUCGGG
Molecule: unclassified non-coding RNA, 1181 nt
Filed under: Eurytemora carolleeae
Lineage: Eukaryota; Metazoa; Arthropoda; Copepoda; Calanoida; Temoridae
Description: uncharacterized LOC111708595
Source: RNAcentral